This 320-nucleotide ribosomal RNA is filed under the name uncultured eukaryote. Its description in RNAcentral is "partial 18S ribosomal RNA". It matches the Rfam family "Eukaryotic small subunit ribosomal RNA", at positions 1470 to 1796 of the family's 1831-position model. The record is from RNAcentral.
CCCCUAGAUGUUCUGGGCCGCACGCGCGCUACACUGAACAGUUCAACAAGUCUUAACCUUGGCCGAUAGGUCUGGGUAAUCUUUGAACGCUGUUCGUGAUUGGGAAAGACCUUUGCAAUUAUGGGUCUUCAACGAGGAAUUCCUAGUAAACGCAAGUCAUCAGCUUGCAUUGAUUACGUCCCUGCCCUUUGUACACACCGCCCGUCGCACCUACCGAUUGAAUGGUCCGGUGAAAUCUCGGGACGGCGGCUUGGUCGCUUGCGUCCGACUGCUGAAACUUGAUUAAACCAUAUCAUUUAGAGGAAGGUGAAGUCGUAACA